RNAcentral lists this ribosomal RNA (82 nucleotides) under Serratia bockelmannii. Its description in RNAcentral is "partial 16S ribosomal RNA". It matches the Rfam family "Bacterial small subunit ribosomal RNA", at positions 1 to 82 of the family's 1533-position model. Lineage: Bacteria; Pseudomonadati; Pseudomonadota; Gammaproteobacteria; Enterobacterales; Yersiniaceae. The record is from RNAcentral.
UAAUUGAAGAGUUUGAUCAUGGCUCAGAUUGAACGCUGGCGGCAGGCUUAACACAUGCAAGUCGAGCGGUAGCACAAGGGAG